Molecule: ribosomal RNA, 460 nt
Filed under: Notoproctus sp. GK-2017
Lineage: Eukaryota; Metazoa; Annelida; Polychaeta; Maldanidae
Description: partial 16S ribosomal RNA
Rfam family: Bacterial large subunit ribosomal RNA
Source: RNAcentral
UGCCUCUUGUAAAAAAAUAAAAGGUAAAACCUGCCCAGUGAUUUACGAAUUCAACGGCCGCGGUACCCUGACCGUGCUAAGGUAGCAUAUAAUAUUCCCUUUAAUUGUGGGCUAGAAUGAAAGGACAAACGAGGGCUAAGCUGUCUCUAAAGUACUAAAUAAAAUUAUCUUCCAGGUGAAGAGACCUGGAUAAAGUUAAAAGACAAAAAGACCCCGUAGAGCUUUACUACUAACACAGGACAGAUUUUAUACAUAGAUUUCUCUCCUUAGCUACAAUAGUUUAACUGGGGCGGUUGAGGAGCACAGACCCUCCUCUCAUAUAUAAGGAGCACCACCCACUAAAGAUCCUACACAGAUUAAAGAAAACAGCUACCUCGGGGCUAACAGGCUAAUCUCUCCUGAGAGUACUAAUCGAAAGAGAGGGUUGGCACCUCGAUGUUGGCUUAGAGUAUCCAAGGGG